Molecule: non-coding RNA, 1871 nt
Organism: Microcebus murinus (gray mouse lemur)
Lineage: Eukaryota; Metazoa; Chordata; Mammalia; Primates; Cheirogaleidae
Source: RefSeq, a predicted model, not a curated record
UGACGUUGCAUGAACGCUUUACUAAAUACCUAAAGAGAGGAACUGAGCAGGAGGCAGCUAAAAACAAGAAAAGCCCAGAGAUACACAGGAGGAUAGACAUUUCCCCCAGUACAUUCAGAAAACAUGGUUUGGCUCAUGAUGAAAUGAAAAGUCCCCGGGAACCUGGCUACAAGGAUGGGCAUAAUUCUAAAAAUGAACUACAAAGGGUUAAUUUUUAUUAAAUGUAUCAACAACCUUUGUGAAGUGGUUAGAAUAUGGUAAAUGACCCCAAAGUCUGUUGAGGUGAGCUUGAGAAAAAAAAGAGAGGAGUUUUGGAACAAGUGCCCAUGAUGAGAGAAGAAACUUUUUGUGAUAUUUUUCUGCUUGUAAGUAUUAUCAAAUCAACUGUAUACAUGCACUAUUUCCAACCAUGAUUUCAAAAAGACAUGCAUGUCAGAGGAGAGUGAAAUAUUCAUAUCUUAACUUAGUAGACUGUUUUAAACAGCUGGUCUAGUUUUUUUCCUAACAUUGUACCAUUAUCUAUCAUCUGUUGGUUACUGUUACUUUAAAGCUAAACAUUACUUUGAUGGCCCAGCUACAUUUGCAAUGAUGUGCACGUAAACACUGUUAUUAAGAGGUUAAAGCUUGUAUGCAAUCUUUUACUGUGAAAUAACUAGAUUCGGUUUUUAAAGUCUUAAUAUUUAUUGAUCUUCAUUUACAUAUAGAGUUGAAAUUUAAAAUUAGAAAUGGCUCUUCUAUUGCUGCUGAUAACUUUUCUAAAAAUAUUAAUUUUCAAGUUCUCCAAACAACUUAAUCUAGCUGGUUGAAUGUGAUGAGAGGCACUCUUGGGCAGUCUCUCUUCUUUCCCCACCCCCCUUUUCUCUUUCUCCAAGUACCCAUCAGCUUGGCACUAACCAUGUAAAACCCAAGGUUUUGAAAUAUCAGAAGAGAUCUCAUCCUCCAUGCCUCAAAAACUCAACUCAUUAGAGUUGCUGUUUGUACUGCCCAAGGGAGCAGCAGCUGCAUUGGUCUUUUUGUCUUUUUUUUUUUUUUAUCUUGGAGGAUGCAGAGGCCUCAUUCCUUCUCUUAGAAACAGAUGAAGUGAUAAAAUAGUAAUCAAUCUAUUUCUGUUACUCCUGCUAUUAAACUUUAUUUCAAAAAGUUUGGUAGUUCAUGUAAGUACAAUGUUAAUACAGAGUGAACUGCUCAUUUCUCCUUCCUUUAGAGAAGAUUUACUUCCUUGAGACAAAUUCUAUUAUAUGAUGUCCCUGAAACUACCUUGCAUCUUUGCCCCCACUGAGUUUCCUGAGAAUUGUCAAAAGCCAUUGCUGUGAUGGUCUGGGCUGGUGUACCGUUGUUGCUCCUGGGUUCAUACUGUAUCUGCAGCAUAUCCUGACGGUUAAACUUCCUAGGAAGUUAACAAAAAAAUUUUUCUUCUUUUUUUUUUUUAAAGUAGACUUUGACCUGGUACUGCCAGUUUAUGAAUUAUCCAUUAUAGUUUUUGAUAUUUCUUGUAGAGAAACUUCUCAGUAUAGCUCAGCAUUUUGGAAAGCUGCUUAAAUCUUCCAUUGUCUCUCUCUGGACUCAGCCCUGAGAGAUAAUUCCAAGUAGAGGAUAAGCCGUGGGUGACUGCUACAGUGUAGGUAGGGGAAGAUGAGCAUUUCUACUCUUAGUGGUGACUAAGCCUGAACCAGCCCAACCACCCACGUUCCAGAGCUAACUUUAGCCCUCUCACUUUUAGACUAGACAGUCAUUAGUGGGCCACAGAAGCAACAAAGUGAAAUCAAUAUAUAGUAUUUUCAGAAGGCUACCGUCCUCAUUGUUUUAGGGAGCUGGUUUGGGUGCUAUAAGGGAUCAUCAUGAAAUAACUUUGUGGGACAUCUUGCAUUCCU